AAGAUAGCCUGGACGUCUUGUAUG
This 24-nucleotide non-coding RNA is filed under the name Cricetulus griseus (Chinese hamster). The record is from RNAcentral. Lineage: Eukaryota; Metazoa; Chordata; Mammalia; Rodentia; Cricetidae.